Molecule: non-coding RNA, 96 nt
Filed under: unclassified sequences
Description: skipping-rope RNA
Rfam family: skipping-rope RNA
About the family: Firmicutes, Fusobacteria, AlphaProteobacteria, Spirochaetes. Downstream gene
Source: Rfam by way of RNAcentral
AAGCUUAGAGGUUGAAAAGUAUCCGCCUCUUCCAACGCGCCACCGAAAUGGUGGGAACAGAAAUGCGGGCGACCAAAGGCGGUCCCGCCUAAGCUU